GGAAUGUAUUUUUAUACAAAGAGCUGAGGCUCUGUAGAUUACUACAGAUUUGGAAAAGAUGGAGAUUCUAUGGUUAGGUCAACCUUAAUCGAGAGGAAUUGACUUGCGCUUAAAUUUCGGGACGAAAUUUCUUUAAGGAGGGUAGAUUGUAAUACCCGAAAAAUUCAAAUUAACGUCCGAUGUCAUUUUGGAAAUGAUUUCGUAGGCGUGGGCACGAAUACGAAGCUUGAAGGAGUUGUGGAAUUAGUUCGAACGAUUUUAUUUCGAAAACGAACGUUAUUUAGGGGGUCUUAAAAAGUGACUUCUUAUACGUACAGAAUUUGGGAAAACUUUCUUCAUGAAAGUUGUAGAGCUCGUCGAUACGAUCUCGUGCGUAUGUUGAACGCAAUAUUCGGAGUUUGUAUGAAUAAGUUAUGAAUAUUUGAAAAUCGGGAUUUUUUUUCUAUAAAUAUGGAGAAUUUCUGGAAUUUUUCUUAAAUCCCAAAAUUUCCUAUUCUUUCUAUUUUCUCCCCCGGUUUUCUCUCUUCUCUCUCCUCUCCCCCGACCUUUUUCUCUUCUUUCUGGGCGUUCUUCCUCUGCCAGCAGCGCCACCGUCCGGCCACCUCAAGCCGCUCUCGAGGUGUCCACGGCUUCGCCUCGACGUCGUCUAGCUACUGGACGUGACCACUUUCCCCGGAACGGCCUCAAAUCCGGCAAACCGGAGCUGCAAGGUUUGAGCCAAAAACAGUCAACGCCGGUUUUCUCCUAAUUCCGGCCACCAAAACUCACGAUCCUUAGCUCCCUGAACUCACCUCAACAUGCUGAUCAUCAUCCUAGAAGGAUCGCACCUGGAGUGACCGGAUUCACGUUCGUCGGAGCUCGGCCGGCUUUAAUUCGAAAACCACCUUCGAAUCCGAUUUUCUCGAGUUAUAGACCACCUUUUCUUGUGAUUCUUGGCCUGGUGAGUUCACCUUGAGAUUAUUAACAACUCUCAAGAAGGGAUCGAGGCCUGAGGUUGAAGUUUUUACGUCGGAAUUCAAGCUCGCCGGAUUCUGGAAAAUUUCCGACCACGAAGACUUUCGAUCAAGAUAUCGCGAGCUGUAGUGCAUCGUUUUGAUUGAUUCUUUUUCCAGUGGGUUCCCCUUGAUGUUGUUAACAACUCUCUAGAAGGCAUCGAGGCCUGAAAUUGAAUCUUUGACGUCGAAAUCGAGCCUUGCCGGAUUCUGCAAAAUUCUGGAAUUUUUCCGACCACCGAAGCUUUCGAUCGGUAUAUCUCGAGCUACAGACCAUAUUUUUCUGUGAUUCUUGAACCAGUGAGUUCUUCUUGAGUUUCUUAACAACUCUUCAGAAGGAAUCGAAGCCUUAAAUUGACGUUUUUACGUCGAAUUGGAGCUCGCCGUUUUCUGCAGUUUCUCGCCGGUUUCUGGAAAAUUCCGGCCACCUUCAUACUGUUCAAGGUGAUUGACGGUUUGAGUUGGCGGACGAUUGUGAAUCGUAUUUUGAGCUGUUAAGAAGACGCAGCGGGAUUAGAGCGGGUAAUCCUACAGGUCAGGAGAACCAGGACGGUGAUCGGGCUGCUUAGAGUAGUGUUAUGUGAAUUACAGCAUUAUAUUGUGAGGUUUGUUAUGCUCAUUUAGAGCUUUACGAUUUUACUUUGUAAGAGUGAAUUGUAAUAAUUAACUCGAGGUUUUUCGAGUUUUGUGUUGA
Rosa rugosa (rugosa rose) is the source of this 1686-nucleotide long non-coding RNA. RefSeq lists it as uncharacterized. NCBI's taxonomy places the organism in Eukaryota, Viridiplantae, Streptophyta, Magnoliopsida, Rosales, Rosaceae. The record is from RefSeq and is a predicted model, not a curated record. The transcript has 3 exons.